UGGGGAAUAUUGGGCAAUGGGCGCAAGCCUGACCCAGCAACGCCGCGUGAAGGAAGAAGGCCCGCGGGUUGUAAACUUCUUUUAGGAGGGACGAAGAAGGUACGGUACCUGAUGAAUAAGCCACGGCUAACUACGUCACAGUCGCCGCGGUAAUACGUAGGUGGCAAGCGUUAUCCGGAUUUACUGGGUGUAAAGGGCGUGUAGGCGGGAUCGCAAGUCAGAUGUGAAAUUCCAGGGCUUAACCCUGGACCUGCAUUUGAAACUGUGAUUCUUGAGUGAUGGAGAGGCAGGCGGAAUUCCGUGUGUAGCGGUGAAAUGCGUAGAUAUACGGAGGAACACCAGUGGCGAAGGCGGCCUGCUGGACAUUAACUGACGCUGAGGCGCGAAAGCGUGGGGAGCAAACAGG
This 406-nucleotide ribosomal RNA is filed under the name uncultured bacterium. RNAcentral's name for it is "bacterial SSU rRNA". It matches the Rfam family "Bacterial small subunit ribosomal RNA", at positions 355 to 776 of the family's 1533-position model. The record is from RNAcentral.